Molecule: RNA transcript, 6590 nt
Organism: Salvia miltiorrhiza (redroot sage)
Lineage: Eukaryota; Viridiplantae; Streptophyta; Magnoliopsida; Lamiales; Lamiaceae
Exons: 3
Source: RefSeq, a predicted model, not a curated record
GCUUUAUACUUUUAUAACGUAUAAGAAAAACGCGACGAGGAUUAUUGAGCCAUUCAAUAAUUUAUUAUCCAGUUUGAUAACUGACUUAGCAAAGUCAAGUUAUUAAUUUAUAUGCGAUAGAAAUAGUAUUUCUAUUAUUUACUUGAAGUCGUGAUUAAUUUUCGACUUAUAAAACGAAUUAUAAAAUAUGUAAUUCGUAGAGAGUUAUAACGAAGCGUCGUUAUUUAGUAGAACCCAAUAUUAGUUUUACAAAUACUUGUAACUUCAAUACUUUACAAAUCAUUAUUUUUCCACUCCCUAAUGUUUCCUACACUAUAUACGCAUCCACUCCACCAAAUUACAUCAUACCUACCUCCCCACCACUACUUUACUUUUCCCCCACCACAUUAGUGCACCACCAUCUCCACUACCUAUGCUCCCCACCAACUUCAAAAAAACUUCACCCAUUCCUUCCAUUUCGCACCAGCAAUCAUAAAGAAAAGGAAGACUUGGCUUAACUAUUUUGCCAAGAUUUCAAGCUGCUCCAGUCCAGUAGUACCCCAACACUCCGGCAGUGUUUUGCAAGGCGAUUUCAGCAAUCCAAACGGUUCCCAAAAAUUCUCAAAUUAAUUGUGUAUCAUCUUUCAUAUGUUUUCUAUACUUUGGUAAAAUUUCAGAAGGUUUGAAGCUCUUAUGAUUUAUUUAUGAAUUUGUAAACAUCACUGCCCAUCUGGAAUACAUUUUUGGUAAACAAUCUUUGGGAGGCCAUAAGUAAAGUUUCAAUCGGUGAAAACCUUUGAAACUUGAAUAUGUCACUCUAGACUCCCGUAUCUUUCUUUUGAAAUCGGCCUCACCAUUUUUGAGUAAGGGAAACAACCGGUAUAAAUUCUUGAAAUCUAGUUCUUAUUCCUUGUACCAUCCAGUAGAUUUUACAAACCUACGACUUUGAGGUGGCAAAUACCGACUUAAAUCUUUGAUUCUCAAGCCUAUCUUUCUACUGAAUAUUCACUGACAUGUUGGGAACUUACUUGUUCAGUUUUAGAAUUUUUGGUGAAGCCUAAAGUGGUUUUUCCGAUUUAUGUUCUGAAUCUGCCAAACUUGAACUCUUUUUGUGCAUUGAACUUUAGAUAGUCAUAUCUUCUAAACCAUGAAUGUUCUUAGAGUAAAUCCAACUGGAGAGUGUUAUGAUCUCUCCCUAGUUUCCAGAUUGACCCUUGGGGUUCCCAGUGGAGUUUUGUAAAGGGAGAUAUGAAUUUUUAAAGAAAGCCCACUGACUUGGUUGUAAUCUGGAAAUCUGAAAUUUUCAGAUUUUUGCUUGUUAAAUACCCAUCUUUGAGAGGGCAUAUCUUGCUCGUUUGAAUUGUUUUUCAUUCGAUUCAAAUUGAAGAAUGAUCCUUGAAAUGUCUAGUUUCCAGAAUGUCUUUUGGAGCCUCAUUUGGAGAUCCGAGGCAGAUUUGGUGUCUGUUGCAAAAUAACCCCUUAAGAGCUCAAGUUGUUGAAUUAUUUUCUAUGUAUCAAAGUUUAUUUUAAAGGAUGUUUCAUGAAAGAUUUAGUAUAUGUGCGUAACAAGUUUGGGACUAUUUAUUUUAAAUGAGGUCCGUUCUUUAUUUAAAUUAUGAUGGACUUUUAAUGAAUAUUUUUGGGAUUAAAUUCUUAUUUCUGGAUUUAUAUAAAUUAUUAUUUUUAAGGACUUAUAAAUAUGAAUUUCGUAGGCCUACUGACCUACUGUGAUCGACGGUUUGUCGAUGUCUAAUAGCUUUGAAAAGUUUAUAGCAAGUCCCGACAUGAGUCUUGAGUACCCUGGUAAAAUUUCAAGCCAUUCCAACUUCGUUUGAUACUUCUUUAAAAUGCAAAACCUAAACUGCACAUUACUACCGAGAAUUUCAGAGAACAGAUGAAAGAGUCAUUUAUUUCAGUAGCUUCCUGUGUGAUCUAGCUUUCCAAAUUUUUAUGGUAUUCACCUUAUUGUGUUAGCUAGAUAUCCACCAAAGUUGAGCCCAGUUUGACAACGUUUACUAUUUUUAAAAAAUCCAAGUUUUCGAUUGUUCAAAACUGCCGAACAUGGUAGAUCGUGGUAAAAACGUCAUAUCUCUCAAACCACUUGGAGUUUUCGACUCUACUUUUUUUAUAUGAAACUAGAUUCGAAGAUCUUUCUUUCAGUAUGAGUCUCGAGUCCAGGAGAUGUCGGAGUCAGAACAGAUUAAAUUUUGAAGUUGAGUCAGUGUAAAAACAGAGCAUGUUUUAAUGAUGUUUUUGGACUUCGGACUUUAAAGCGAACUAUUAUCAUUUAUUUCUUUAAAGCCACUGGUUUAUUUAAUUAAUUGGCUACUCUCUUUUGAGCCUAUUAAUUAUUUGAGGUUACGCUAGUAAUGAUGUAACGAAUUAUGGAUGCUAGAACCCUAAAACACUAAAAGAUACCAUAGGCACGUAGAAUUAGACUUUGUCUUAUGACAAUUACUUCACGAACUUAUCGACUCUUCAUCAAUGAAGGUCCGGGCGACAGAAAGUGAAGCCGAAGAAGAAACGACUCCACGCCAGCUUUAAGAACAAUUGAGGUUGAGCUGUGAUGGGCGAUGAAGUGUUGUUGCUGAGUAGAGCUUUUGUCGAACUUAAAGUAGGCUCAGAAAGGAUACAUGUCUUCAUACAUGUAUCUCAGUUAUGCUUUCCGCUGUAAACACUGAUUUUUUUUUAGUUACACCUUCCGUUGCAAACUCUGAUAAUGUUUUAGCCAAGCCCCUAACGAUGCCUUUUUCCUUUUAAGGAAUAUAACGCGUAUACAAGUUCUUUGAGUACCCUUUUUAUGCGACCUAUGCCUUUUUCCUUUUUAAGGAAUAUUUCACGCGUAUUCAAGUCCUUUGAGUAUUCUUUUAUGCGCCCCUUUCUCAACCCGCUUCUUAAUUUCCCUUCCCCAGUCAUGGUUUUCCCGGAUUAAUUAUCCUUAAUUAAGGCCGGUCGUGACAGAGUGGUAUCAGAGCAGUUCGUUUGCUCUGAGCCUAAGAGUUUAUUUAAGCCAAACUUAGAAUGGAUCACUAAAGUGUCUAGAGUUCAAUCGACAAAGCUCAGCACUUCAUCGUAUCACACUCAACGAAGCAGAAUGGUAUGCUCUUCCAAGUUUUGAGUUAAUGUUUACAAAAAGUGAAAAUUAUCGUAAUAGCAAAGUGAGUAACUGUUAAUAACUAUAUUAUGUUGUUAUUGAAUGAAAUGAUUUACGCAAGCGCGAUUAAGUAUGCCUAUGGAAUGAAUCCCUAUGAACAUAGAGCUAUUAAGAUAUGAGAUCACACUACGACAGAACAUAGAAGCAAACAUAGAAAAAAAUUAGAUUGUAUCUUUUGGUGGCUAUAGUGAAGGAAGCAAGAUAAGUGAUACGUAUAGAAAAAAAUUUUCUUAAGCUGAUGAUAUUAUAGCCACUAUAAAUCUCCAUGACUUAUGCUUAAGUAUCCAGUUUAGAUGAUGUGAUAAUAUAUGCUUAAGGAUUGUUAUGACUCAUAGAUUUGAGAUGCUAAGGACCCUUAAAGCUUACUACAUCAAUGAUCAAUGAUGUCAUUGGAGUCAUGACUUGUUUACAAGUUAUAUUAAGUUGACAUUUACAAGAAUUCUUUUGAGGCUUGUAUUAGAUUAUGCUAGAGUGUACUAAUUGGCACAUCUUUGCUAUCAGAAUGCCGCCUAAGAGAGGACGCCCUGCGAAAAACAAUAACAAUCGCAGAAACCGUAACGCUGUACCCGAAGAACCACAAGAUGCUCGAGGACAUAACCCAUCCCCUCCGCCUCCGACUAGGAGAGUCGAAGAACUCUUUUUAAGGCAAAAUCCACCUACAUUUGACGGAACGAGUGAACCGGCUGAAGCUGAGAUUUGGGUGCGUGCAAUAGAACGCAUUUUCAACUUUCUACGUUGUACUGAUGAGGAGCGCCUAUCUUGCGUCUCUUUCCAACUAACAGGGUCGGCUGACUUCUGGUGGGAAGCACGACGAAAAAUUCUGACACCUGAACAAUGGGCAAGUUAUACUUGGGAAGAUUUUAAGACAGGAUUAUAUGAUAAAUAUAUUCCGAAAAGCUAUAGGAAGAAAAAAGAAGCUGAGUUCUACGAGUUAAAGCAAGGAAAGAAAUCUGUGGUUGAAUACGACAAGGAAUUCUGCAACCUGUCUAGGUUUGCUCCGCAACAAGUGGACACAGAUGAGAAGAUGGCAGAGAAAUUUUGUGCCGGUCUGCGACACGAAAUUAGGAUGACUCUAGCGAGCCACGGAGGACUCUCAUAUACGGAGUCUCUGAACAGGGCACUUGACAUUGAAGCUGCAAUGCCGUCAGACAAGUCAGCCCCACCAUUGAUCUCAACGCCAAACGACUUACUAGGAGCCUCACAUACUCUCAAAAGGAAGCGCAAGUGGGACAGCAACGAAGACAAUAUCAAUCAGACUAGUAAGAAAGUGUGGCAAGAAAAGGAACGGGCUGAACAGUUUAUUCAACCAAGGUACGAGGCACAGACUAACCUCGAGCCAACUAGAGGUAACCAAGGUCAGAAAGGAAUUUCACCUUGCCCAAAUUGCGGUAAGAUGCAUAGGAGUGUUUGUCGAGCUGGGACUAACGGUUGUUACAAUUGUGGCCAAAAAGGUCACUACUCCACGCAAUGCCCCAACAGACAACGAGGUUCAGCAAUUGGGAACAUCCAUACCCCCUUGCCAGCAAUACGUGGACACUUGCGAAAUCAGUUUCAAUCACAUCAGUGAAAAUCUUAUGGAGGCACCGCAGAUAUAAAAAAAAAAUUACGUGGGAGUUUGAAGACAAAAUGAAAGAGAAGUACCCGGAUUGUUUUAACAGAGAUAUGCAAAUUUCGGGACGAAAUUUUUGUUAAGAGGGGUAGUAUGUAGUAGCCCGCUCUUUUAUUUAUGAUAAAAACUAGUAAAUGCAAUUUUUAUAAAUGAAUCCAGUUUAUGGUCCUGAUUUUUUUUUUAUCAGAGACGGAGUUAUUAUUUUAGCUUUAUACUUUUAUAACGUAUAAGAAAAACGCGACGAGGAUUAUUGAGCCAUUCAAUAAUUUAUUAUCCAGUUUGAUAACUGACUUAGCAAAGUCAAGUUAUUAAUUUAUAUGCGAUAGAAAUAGUAUUUCUAUUAUUUACUUGAAGUCGUGAUUAAUUUUCGACUUAUAAAACGAAUUAUAAAAUAUGUAAUUCGUAGAGAGUUAUAACGAAGCGUCGUUAUUUAGUAGAACCCAAUAUUAGUUUUACAAAUACUUGUAACUUCAAUACUUUACAAAUCAUUAUUUUUCCACUCCCUAAUGUUUCCUACACUAUAUACGCAUCCACUCCACCAAAUUACAUCAUACCUACCUCCCCACCACUACUUUACUUUUCCCCCACCACAUUAGUGCACCACCAUCUCCACUACCUAUGCUCCCCACCAACUUCAAAAAAACUUCACCCAUUCCUUCCAUUUCGCACCAGCAAUCAUAAAGAAAAGGAAGACUUGGCUUAACUAUUUUGCCAAGAUUUCAAGCUGCUCCAGUCCAGUAGUACCCCAACACUCCGGCAGUGUUUUGCAAGGCGAUUUCAGCAAUCCAAACGGUUCCCAAAAAUUCUCAAAUUAAUUGUGUAUCAUCUUUCAUAUGUUUUCUAUACUUUGGUCCGGGCGACAGAAAGUGAAGCCGAAGAAGAAACGACUCCACGCCAGCUUUAAGAACAAUUGAGGUGGGCAAUUUCUUACGCGUAAAUAAAAUGCUAUGCAAGUGUUAUGCUUUAAAAUGCAAAUUGGAUCUUCAAGUAUGGUAUGCUUUAUUACGCUUAAAUGAGUUAAGCUUUAUUAUGAUGCACGUUAAAUGAUUACGCUUAUUUACGCUUGAAUGCUUUACGCUGAUAAGUUUAUGCUUAUGUUUGAUGCUUGCGUCUGUUGGGGGAGGCCUCCCUCAACAGUACGAUGCCGUGUCCGCUGAGGAGGGCCUUCCUCACGGCGCGAUGCCCGUGUCCGCUGAGAGAGGCCUCUCUCGCGGCGCGAUGCCAAUAUGCCAGUGUUACAGCGUCUAUUGGGGGAGGCCUCCCUCAAUAGUACGAUGCCGUGACCGCUGAGGGAGGCUCCCCCUCACGGCGUGAUGCCCGUGUUCGUUGGGGAAGGCCUUCUCCACGACACGAUGUUUGUUAAUGAAGAUUGAUGAUGAAGAAUGCCCUUAUGCUAUUUAAGAAUUUGGAAAUGUUUAAUGAGAAAAGGAUAUGAAAGAAACUCAUGCCUCUUAUGCGAUAUUGUGAAAUUGUUAAUAAUGUUAUGUUAUAUGCUUGGCAACUGCCCACUAAGUACUCUUGUACUUAGCCUUUCGAUGUUUAUGUUUGUGCAAGUUGAGCUGUGAUGGGCGAUGAAGUGUUGUUGCUGAGUAGAGCUUUUGUCGAACUUAAAGUAGGCUCAGAAAGGAUACAUGUCUUCAUACAUGUAUCUCAGUUAUGCUUUCCGCUGUAAACACUGAUUUUUUUUUAGUUACACCUUCCGUUGCAAACUCUGAUAAUGUUUUAGCCAAGCCCCUAACGAUGCCUUUUUCCUUUUAAGGAAUAUAACGCGUAUACAAGUUCUUUGAGUACCCUUUUUAUGCGACCUAUGCCUUUUUCCUUUUUAAGGAAUAUUUCACGCGUAUUCAA